GUGCGAGACCGAUAGCGAACAAGUACCGUGAGGGAAAGAUGAAAAGAACUUUGAAAAGAGAGUUAAAGAGUACCUGAAACUGCUGAAAGGGAAGCGAAUCGUAUCCAGUGUCUAUAAUCUGCGGCAUAUUUCAUUGGCGGCGGUGCGCGUGCUUUUGCGUCGGAAGCGGCUUUUGUUGCUCUGUGCUUUUGCUGUGCGUGGUGUUGCUGGUGCCCUGUGUUGCGGUGGGACGUCAGUAGUCAGUUUGUAUGCUGCGGGAAAUGGCUGCCGAGGAGGUAGGUCGAGAUUUCGGUCUUGGCUGUUAUAUCUUGGUGGUUUGUUGUCGUGGUUGAGACUGAGGUGCCUACAAUGUGCUUUUGAGUGUACCGGGUUCUCAUUUGGUGGACUGUUGGGAUAGCUUGCUAUGCUUGUGGUUUUUUCAUCGGGUGAUUGAGUCUGGUGGUAACUUGAUGCUGUUCGGGACUUUGAA
Molecule: ribosomal RNA, 469 nt
Filed under: uncultured Oomycota
Lineage: Eukaryota; Oomycota
Description: LSU rRNA
Rfam family: Bacterial large subunit ribosomal RNA (bases 1-83)
Source: RNAcentral